Molecule: ribosomal RNA, 235 nt
Filed under: uncultured bacterium
Lineage: Bacteria
Description: partial 16S ribosomal RNA
Rfam family: Bacterial small subunit ribosomal RNA
Source: RNAcentral
UGGGCAACCUGCCCCUCUCUCUGGGAUAACCCCCGGGGAAACCGGAGCUAAUACCGGAUACUCCGGCUGGAUCGCAUGGUCCGGCCGGGAAAGGUCCGCCGGAGAGGGAUGGGCCCGCGGCCUAUCAGCUUGUUGGUGGGGUAACGGCCCACCAAGGCGACGACGGGUAGCCGGCCUGAGAGGGUGACCGGCCACACUGGGACUGAGACACGGCCCAGACCUCCUACGGGAGGCA